ACAACAUCAAAAACAGUCCUUCUCAGGACUUUAUUAACCUGGACGAUCAUCAUUUACAAACAGAAUUCCAUUAUUAAUAACUACUAAACUGCCUGCAUUACGAAUUUCAAUCGCCAGGUAUAGUGGAAUAUUUCGAAAUUUUACAAAUAACGAAAAACCUAAUUGUACAGAGAAGCUCAUACAGAAGGUGCGACGGGAGGGCAAAAAUGUUCACAAAGUGUGCGUCAUCUAAUGAAACUCAACUGAAACAAUUCAUCCAUUUAAGAUUCAGCAUCAUGCACAACAACUCUUGUAAAACUUAGGCCCAUUUCAAACGUCCAAACUUUACAUAUGCUGAAUGCAUUAUGAACAAAAGAUAGCUAAUGAGGAAUUUAGUCCCAUUUUUGAUAUUUAUUUUCGUCUUGUAUGUAAUCAGCUGUCUUGGAUGCCUUCCACUUGUCGACUGACGUUCUUUGUCUCAAUAUAUAAUACAGUGAAAUAAAAAUUUAGAGAAUUUUGGGACCUUGAAAAAUCUUGGAAUCUUGAACACCUUAACUACUGAUUUGUGACACAAAACGACAACCGAAUUCAGAAAGAGGCAAAAGUGAGCUGACCUGACGAGAUUGAGCGUUUUGUCUGCUUCACAUGAAUACGACAACGCUGGCAUGCGUUUUGGAAAGGCUCCAUUUUGGAAGACGUUUUUAGAAAAUGUCAUUUUCAUUGAUCGUAAACGAGUGCGAGGGAAAAGGAAUUGAAAAACGGAAAUAAAGUGGCAUUUUCUAAUGAAAAAGUAGAUGUCUUCUAAAAUUACCUAGGAUUAUGAACACAGGAAUCUUUUAAUUACUGAAUGUGUAGAUGGCAAGGUCAACCGUACCAGUAGAUGACAAUUCCUUAAAAGAAUUACUGGUGUUAGUGUUGACUGACGUUUUGACACAUUCAGGGUGUUUAGGUAAACAAUAAAGAUUUUAGGCUAUAUUGUACAUAAGACAUGUACAAACACUAUGAAGAUAAGCUUCAAUGGACAUCUGUUCAAAAAACAAAGUCAGAUACAAAAGAACGGAAAUAUUACGUGCUGUAAUUUUGAUAAACUGUAAAAAUACAUUAAUCAAAUUGA
This is a long non-coding RNA of Xenia sp. Carnegie-2017, 1093 nucleotides long. RefSeq lists it as uncharacterized. The record is from RefSeq and is a predicted model, not a curated record. NCBI's taxonomy places the organism in Eukaryota, Metazoa, Cnidaria, Anthozoa, Malacalcyonacea, Xeniidae. The transcript is spliced from 3 exons.